CUGUGCUAGAUGGGGAGCUAGCGGUGCCCUGAACCCGCAAUCCGCUAUAGCGGGGUUGAAUUCCUUCCCCAGGCUCGGCUGAGGGACCUCUAUUCUACUGGAAGGGUGUUGAGGGCUGGGUCCCACGCGGCGGAGACCUGUGAAUCCCGCCAGGUCCGGAAGGAAGCAACGGUAAGCAGACAUCUUCGGGUGCCGUGGGAGUGCCUGGUCUGAGCUUGACCAGCGGGACACGUUCAACGGUCGCGUCGAAGGAAGGUGCACGG
RNAcentral lists this signal recognition particle RNA (263 nucleotides) under Chloroflexota bacterium. RNAcentral's name for it is "Chloroflexi bacterium signal recognition particle sRNA large type". It matches the Rfam family "Bacterial large signal recognition particle RNA". Rfam says of the family: The signal recognition particle (SRP) is a universally conserved ribonucleoprotein involved in the co-translational targeting of proteins to membranes. Archaeal SRP consists of a 7S RNA and homologues of the eukaryotic SRP19 and SRP54 proteins. In most bacteria, the SRP consists of a 4.5S RNA and the Ffh protein (a homologue of the eukaryotic SRP54 protein). Lineage: Bacteria; Bacillati; Chloroflexota. The record is from RNAcentral.